CGGCGCGUGGCUCAGCUUGGUAGAGCGCUGCGUUCGGGACGCAGAGGUCGCAGGUUCAAAUCCUGUCGCGCCGACGA
This 77-nucleotide transfer RNA is filed under the name Roseburia sp. CAG:18. RNAcentral describes it as "transfer RNA-Pro(CGG)". It matches the Rfam family "tRNA". Rfam says of the family: Transfer RNA (tRNA) molecules are approximately 80 nucleotides in length. Their secondary structure includes four short double-helical elements and three loops (D, anti-codon, and T loops). Further hydrogen bonds mediate the characteristic L-shaped molecular structure. tRNAs have two regions of fundamental functional importance: the anti-codon, which is responsible for specific mRNA codon recognition, and the 3' end, to which the tRNAs corresponding amino acid is attached (by aminoacyl-tRNA synthetases). tRNAs cope with the degeneracy of the genetic code in two manners: having more than one tRNA (with a specific anti-codon) for a particular amino acid; and 'wobble' base-pairing, i.e. permitting non-standard base-pairing at the 3rd anti-codon position. Lineage: Bacteria; Bacillati; Bacillota; Clostridia; Lachnospirales; Lachnospiraceae. RNAcentral also lists the same sequence under 5 other names. The record is from RNAcentral.